UGACAGCAGCUGCACCAGCGGCGUGUUCCACACCUGGGAGAUCUGAAACAAACAGGUGGGGACAGAUGUGACACAGGUGUGACACAGGUGUGACACAGAACCACCAGUGUUCCACACCUGGGAGAUCUGAAACAAACAGGUGGGGACAGGUGUGACACAGGUGUGACAGCAGCUGCACCAGCGGCGUGUUCCACACCUGGGAGAUCUGAAACAGGUGGGGACAGGUGUGACACAGGUGUGACACAGCACAGGUGUGACACAGGACAUGUGACAGGUGUGACACAGGUGUGACACGGGUGUGACACAGCACAGGUGUGACACAGGACACACGUGACAGGACAGGUGUGACACAGGUGUGACACAGGUAUGACACAGCACAGGUG
Molecule: long non-coding RNA, 383 nt
Filed under: Cyanistes caeruleus (blue tit)
Lineage: Eukaryota; Metazoa; Chordata; Aves; Passeriformes; Paridae
Description: lncRNA (ENSCCEG00000003296.1)
Source: RNAcentral